Schistosoma mattheei is the source of this 45-nucleotide non-coding RNA. Lineage: Eukaryota; Metazoa; Platyhelminthes; Trematoda; Strigeidida; Schistosomatidae. The record is from Rfam.
UUCAGCUGACGAGUCCCAAAUAGGACGAAACGCGCCUCAGUAGAG